GAGUACACGUAAGCAACCUACCCUAAAGACGAGGAUAACCAUUGGAAACAGUGGCUAAGACUGGAUAGGAAGAUAAAAGGCAUCUUGUAUCUUUUAAAAGACCUAGUUAAUAGGUAUGCUUUAGGAGGGGCUUGCGCCAUAUUAGUUAGUUGGUAGGGUAAUGGCCUACCAAGACGAUGAUGUGUAGCUGGACUGAGAGGUUGAACAGCCACAUUGGGACUGAGACACGGCCCAAACUCCUACGGGAGGCAGCAGUAGGGAAUUUUCGGCAAUGGAGGAAACUCUGACCGAGCAACGCCGCGUGAAUGACGAAGUACUUCGGUAUGUAAAGUUCUUUUAUCGAGGAAGAAAAGCAAAUGGCGAACCAUUUGUUUGCCGGUACUUGAUGAAUAAGCCCCGGCUAAUUAUGUGCCAGCAGCCGCGGUAAGACAUAAGGGGCAAGUGUUAUCCGGAAUUAUUGGGCGUAAAGGGUGCGUAGGCGGUCUAGUAAGUCAGUGGUGUAAUGGCAACGCUUAACGUUGUCCGGCUAUUGAAACUGCUAAACUUGAGUUAGAUAGAGGCGAGUGGAAUUCCAUGUGUAGCGGUAAAAUGCGUAAAUAUAUGGAGGAACACCAGAGGCGUAGGCGGCUCGCUGGGUCUUAACUGACGCUGAGGCACGAAAGCGUGGGGAGCAAACAGGAUUAGAUACCCUGGUAGUCCACGCCGUAAACGAUGAGUACUAAGUGUCGGGUUAAACCGGUACUGAAGUUAACACAUUAAGUACUCCGCCUGAGUAGUACGUACGCAAGUAUGAAACUUAAAGGAAUUGACGGGACUCCGCACAAGCGGUGGAUCAUGUUGUUUAAUUCGAAGAUACCCGAAAAACCUUACCAGGUCUUGACAUGUUUUUGCAAAAUGAUAGUAAUAUCGUGGAGGUUACCAGAAACACAGGUGGUGCAUGGUUGUCGUCAGCUCGUGUCGUGAGAUGUUAGGUUAAGUCCUAAAACGAGCGAAACCCUUAUCGUUAGUUGCCAGCACGUUAUGGUGGGGACUUUAACGAGACUGCCAAUGAUAAAUUGGAGGAAGGUGAGGAUCACGUCAAAUCAGCAUGCCCCUUAUGACCUGGGCUACAAACGUGAUACAAUGGCUGUUACAAAGGGUAGCUGAAACGCAAGUUCUUGGCCAAUCCCCAAAAACAGUCCCAGUCCGGAUUGAAGUCUGCAACUCGACUUCAUGAAGUUGGAAUCGCUAGUAAUCGCGAAUCAGCAUGUCGCGGUGAAUACGUUCUCGGGGUUUGUACACACCGCCCGUCAAACCACGAAAGUUGGCAAUACCCCAAAACGGUAGCCUAACUCG
This 1335-nucleotide ribosomal RNA is filed under the name 'Tephrosia purpurea' witches'-broom phytoplasma. RNAcentral describes it as "bacterial SSU rRNA". It matches the Rfam family "Bacterial small subunit ribosomal RNA", at positions 108 to 1442 of the family's 1533-position model. Lineage: Bacteria; Bacillati; Mycoplasmatota; Mollicutes; Acholeplasmatales; Acholeplasmataceae. The record is from RNAcentral.